Molecule: ribosomal RNA, 401 nt
Filed under: Actinomycetota bacterium
Lineage: Bacteria; Bacillati; Actinomycetota
Description: bacterial SSU rRNA
Rfam family: Bacterial small subunit ribosomal RNA
Source: RNAcentral
UCGAUGGAGAGUUUGAUCCUGGCUCAGGACGAACGCUGGCGGCGUGCUUCACACAUGCAAGUCGAACGGGGCCCAUCCGGUGGCAACACCGGUGAAGGCCUAGUGGCGAACGGGUGAGUAACACGUGAGGAACCUGCCCCGAAGACCGGGAUAACAGCGGGAAACCACUGCUAAUACCGGAUACCCCCGGCUGGCCGCAUGGCCGGCCGAGGAAAUGGGUUACCGCUUCGGGAGGGCCUCGCGGCCUAUCAGCUUGUUGGCGGGGUAACGGCCCACCAAGGCGACGACGGGUAGCUGGUCUGAGAGGACGACCAGCCACACUGGGACUGAGACACGGCCCAGACUCCUACGGGAGGCAGCAGUGGGGAAUCUUGCGCAAUGGGCGAAAGCCUGACGCAGCA